GACGAACGCUGGCGGCGUGCUUAACACAUGCAAGUCGAACGAUGAAGCCCUUUCGGGGGUGGAUUAGUGGCGAACGGGUGAGUAACACGUGGGUAACCUGCCCUGUACCCUGGGAUAAGCCUUGGAAACGAGGUCUAAUACCGGAUAUGACCUGCUCUCGCAUGGGGGUGGGUGGAAAGUUUUGGCGGUGCAGGAUGGACCCGCGGCCUAUCAGCUUGUUGGUGGGGUNAUGGCCUACCAAGGCGACGACGGGUANCCGGCCUGAGAGGGCGACCGGCCACACUGGGACUGAGACACGGCCCAGACUCCUACGGGAGGCAGCAGUGGGAAUAUUGCACAAUGGGCGAAAGCCUGAUGCAGCGACGCCGCGUGAGGGAUGACGGCC
RNAcentral lists this ribosomal RNA (385 nucleotides) under uncultured bacterium. RNAcentral describes it as "bacterial SSU rRNA". It matches the Rfam family "Bacterial small subunit ribosomal RNA", at positions 28 to 416 of the family's 1533-position model. The record is from RNAcentral.